GUAAGGAAUAUUGGUCAAUGGGGGCAACCCUGAACCAGCCAUGCCGCGUGAAGGAUGAAGGCGUUAUGCGUUGUAAACUUCUUUUGUAUGGGAAGAAUGACAGGGAUUUAUCCUUGGAGAGACGGUACCAUACGAAUAAGCACCGGCUAACUCCGUGCCAGCAGCCGCGGUAAUACGGAGGGUGCAAGCGUUAUCCGGAAUCACUGGGUUUAAAGGGUACGUAGGCGGUUAAUUAAGUCAGUAGUGAAAGACUGUCGCUCAACGACGGAUGUGCUAUUGAUACUGGUUAACUUGAAUCAGGUUAGAGUUGGCGGAAUGGGUCAUGUAGCGGUGAAAUGCUUAGAUAUGACUUGGAACACCGAUAGCGAAGGCAUUGUACUGGCCGACAACUGACGCUGAUGCACGAAAGUGUGGGGAUCGAACAGGAUUAGAAACCCGUGUAGUCC
Molecule: ribosomal RNA, 446 nt
Filed under: uncultured bacterium
Lineage: Bacteria
Description: partial 16S ribosomal RNA
Rfam family: Bacterial small subunit ribosomal RNA
Source: RNAcentral